This 583-nucleotide unclassified non-coding RNA is filed under the name Hevea brasiliensis (rubber tree). The record is from RNAcentral. Lineage: Eukaryota; Viridiplantae; Streptophyta; Magnoliopsida; Malpighiales; Euphorbiaceae.
AUGAAAAAAUCCAUAAAAAAUAUUAAGAAUCCUAUACAUAUCAAACAUUAACAUGGAGCAAUAAGAAAAUUAAAACUAGCAACUGAAAAACAUAAAAAAAAAAAUCACUAACUUGAUUGCAAUGUAGAAUAACUAGAAAAAAUGACUAAAAGGUAAAAAUACAUUAAAAAUACCAAACCUACUCAUAAAAUUAUCAAAUUUUAUCACAUGAUAGUGUGAGAAAGGGGGAUAUGAGGCGAAAUAUCAUUCGCUAGAAUUAUAUAAAAUGCACUAGGUAAUGCCUAGGAAAGAUAGUGGAGUCACAAUGGUCUCGCUUAAGUACCACCUACUUAGACAGCAUUUUUUAGAUAUGCACUUCAUAGAAUCCUAAUAGAAUCAAACCACCGAUAAGUACUGUCUUCUCAUAACACUACCACGGCACUAAAGAUUUAUGCCAAGAAGGCAUAAAAAGACAGGAGUCACCACCCGGGUAAUAACCAGGACAUAUUCAGUAUUUCUUCCGAGAGUCAUGGAUGGCAACUUACUCCUUACAGAGUUUCCAUAACUGUCAUUACCAUAACCCAAUGUCUAGGUUCGGGAUAGU